Molecule: long non-coding RNA, 6684 nt
Filed under: Arabidopsis lyrata
Lineage: Eukaryota; Viridiplantae; Streptophyta; Magnoliopsida; Brassicales; Brassicaceae
Description: long non-coding RNA (ALYR_LNC000393)
Source: RNAcentral
CAUUGGCAUGACAAGAGCCUUUCUGGGAUAGCUCUAUGUGCUGUAGUCUCAUUUCCUGCUGGCCAAACUCAAAUCAGCAGCUUCUCGGUGGCAUGCACCUUUACGAUAAAAGUUCAAGAAAAGUCUUGGAUCCCCUUUACUUGCCAGGUAGGAAGUUGGGAGGGAGACAAGGAAGACAAGAUUGAGUCAGAUCAUGUUUUUAUAGCCUACAUUACUUGCCCACAUACGAUAAGGUGUCUCGAAGAUGAGAACUCUGAUAAAUGCAAUUUUACUGAAGCCUCUCUUGAGUUUAAUGUGACUGGUGGUACAAGUGAGAUAGGAAAAUUCACGGUGUUGAGGUGCGGCUUAAGUUUGGUUUAUGCAAAAGAUAACAACAGAAACAGUUCUCAUGAAGCAAAGUAUGAUAUGCCUGUUGAAGUAAACUUUCAAGAACCUCAACAUGGGAUGAAGGAGGAGAAAAGAAAACUAAAAGAUAAAGAAUUCAUGAUAGACGACCAAAGAAGAAACGGAAAAACAGAAGGUGUGAAAAUGUCUAGUGACACUCAUACUUGUGGUGCAAGUGUAACUCCAAGAAUGGGAGAUCUCCAAGCAAAUGGUUGAAAAUCUCCAAGGUGGAAUGAUCAUGUUUCAGGUGAACCAUAUUCUUACACAAAACAGAAAACACCAAGGAGUAAUUAAUAAAGAAGACUGUACAUUAGUAAUUUCUUGAUGGCGUAUUUUUAUAGAGGGAUACAUAUGUCAUGGGUGGAGCAAAUCUUUCUGGAGCAGUUGGUGUUCUUUUUCCUAUGUAAUGCUAAAGCAUCUGCUUCAGCCAAAAGACCCUUUUUGGCAGAGGGUUUUUGUUUACAAAAGCUUCUCUUUUACCAUCAAUUUACUUUAUUUUGAAUUCAGUGUUCACAAGAUUUCAUGUCAAGUUGCAGAGCAGAAAGGUAAUCAUUUAUUAGAGAUCUUAAUUUGUUGUUGCCGGUUCAAGUUAAUUUCAUGGUCUUGUUUGGUUAUCAAUUCUUUGUAAGACUCUUUUUUACGGUUGAAUAAAGAAAUAUUUUUUUCACAAUUCUUUCUCAAACUGAUAAUCUGAAAUGGUCAUCUUUCUUUCGCGUGAACAUUGUUCUAAUCCAUCUAUUUCUGUCGAGCUCUGCAACCGUCGUUUGAAGUCUAGCUUCUAUGUUGUCAUCUUCCAGCUCUCAAACUGAAGUACAGGUAAGGUCUCUGUUCCAUAAGAAAAACCUCUUUAAGUGUUCCAUGUCCUCAUCAAUGUUUGGAAAACACUGCAGCCAGAGAGAAUCAGUUAUUGAAGAGAUUUCAGUUUCAAAAGAUGCCUUAACCAGCAAUAUUUCUUUAAAUACAGAUCAGCUAGGUAUCUGAGGCUCUCUAUGAAUUCAGAUUUUUUUUUUUUUUACCUUACUAGAUAAAGAACUCAAUCUUGUUUAUUGGGGAAAAUGUCCUUGAAGUUCAGUCUACCUACAUUCCAGAACUGCAGUCUCUUAUCGGGAGAGUACAAAUCUAAACAGUUUUUUCAAGAGUAUUGAGAAAUCUAGGAUUACGCUUUUGAUCUUCUCGGUCAUGUACACUGAUUCAUAUUGGCGCUUGGCUGAGCUUGUGAAGAUCAUGGAACGCGCAGAUAAGGAAAAACUUGUGGUCAUGAUUCCCAUCUUCUAGAACGUGGACACGGACGAUGUUAAAUCCCUGAAGGGUGUGUUUGGUGACAAUGGAUGGACUCUGAUUCCAGGACGAGCAUUGACAUUGUGUUGCAGGAAAAUCCACCACUACCGCUGUCAAGUGUCAACUAAAAACCCUUGUUAACAUUUUCGAAUAAUGGAAAAUUUUGUUUGGUACUUCAGUUUAUUCUAAUGCUUUUCCUAUGCAGAGAUCAGUAUAUACUUGCUGAUGAGGUUGUACGGAAUGCCUGGUUAAGGCGAUUCUUGAAAAUAAGCAAGAAUAUGAUCAGAAUCCUUGCUACUAUUAUAUAUCUGCAAGAUUUCCAUCUAAUGUGUCAGAAGAAAGGGCUGAAGUAGUGGCCUGAUGAUUUCUUAAUAUUUGGGGAAGAAAAGCUUGUUAUAGAUUCUUGUGAUACAAAACAAAGUUUCAUAAAGAGCAUGUUCCAGAAGAAAACAUGUUUUGGUUGGUUUUCUUAUGAACAAAAUCCACUUGCGGAAAAGUUUAUUUGAAACCCGAGAAAAAUAAUCUGCUUAUACGUAUAAACUAGAUUUUAACCCGCGGUACACCGCGGGGCUAUAUUUUCUUAAAAAAAUCAAAAUGUAAUUUGUUUGAUAGAUUAUUUUGAUUGUUAAUUUUAGGAUUUCACCCGUGGUAUAGUAUCUUUUAUAAAUAUCAACCCAAACCCGUCCCAUCAUAUUACCCGUCCCGUGAAAUUAAACAUCAUUUAGUUAUUUUUCUUUUUAAUAAUACUUUUAUUUAAAAGCUAUAUAAUUCAAGUCAAUUUAAAAAUUUCUUUUAAAUGGUUCCCAUAAGAUAUAUAUACAUAUAUAUUAAAUUUGUAUAGAGUUGAAAAAUAUUAAUAUUACAAACUUUUUAUAUAAUUUAAAUAUUAUAAAUAUUUUUAAAAAUAUGCAAUAUAUAUUUUUUGUUAUUGAAUAAGAGGAUAUUAUGUGUAAGAAAUGUAGAAAAUAAGAGUUUAAUAUUUUUUAUUAUGGAGUCGCAAGAAAAAUCUUUUAUUUCUAUACAUGUUAUUCGUUUAUUAAUAAUAAAAGAAAACAAAUCCUUUAAAUUAGAUAUUAACUAAAAUAAACGCACCAUAAUUACUUAUUAAGUAACAACCAAUAAAUUUCACCAAAAAAUAGGUAACAACCAAUAAAUUCUAAACGCAGUAAUUAAAGAAUGAGAUAUUAAAAAAAAUAUCAAAUAAGAUAUAAGAAUCUUAAAAUAAUUGAAUAUCUAAAUAAUUUAAUUGUUAGUGUCGAUUUUAAUGCCUUCAUUAAUGUGGAUUUUUUUUUUACAGAGAAAUAUUUCCUAAAGAUUAUCACAUUAAUGACUCAGAAAAUUAAGGAAGAUAUGAAUUUAUGAUUCUCGAAAUCGUGUUGGUAAUAUCUUUAAUUAAUAUUUUUCAAAUUUAAAUAAUUAAUACCAAUGGCAUUCAUCCGUAAAUACAUUCCAACUCCAGGAUUUAUUUGCUAAAAGUCAUCCAAAAAUGUAUAUAUAGAUGAUGGAAUUCUCUUAUUUUACUUGUUCGUUACUAAUAAUCCAAGUUUCUUAUAAGGAAUGAUAUAUAGAAAGAUAAUCCUAUGCAAUCCAUUUUCUUCUCUUCUAACCUGAUCCAAUAUUCUUCUCCAUUCAUAUAAUGACUUGGUCCGUUGGACGAAUUGUGACACCUUUGACCAAGAGCCCACUCUUCCGGUUAGAGUACUCAUAUUGAUGCAAAGAGAAGAAGAUCUCCACCACGUUCUCUGGCAGUGCCUCAAACUCUCCAGCUUGAAUAUCAACCCAAUUGUUGUAUAUGUAGUCAUUUAAACACAAAGUCGACUCUUGUAUACUCUGGCUUCCAUCGCGAUGUUUCAGCUUCAAAUUUAGGGUCACUGGCUCCUCCCACCCGGAUGCUGUAUCAUCUAAGUAUAUCAUAAACACCACCUUGUACUUUGUUCCUGGAGUUAGUUCCCUCGUGACAAAAUAUCCCUUUAUUUGUAGCCAGUAUAUUUUAUUCAGCAUUGCGAUUUCAAUGUCUGCUUCACUGAAACAUAAUCAAACCUUAUUUUAGUUUAUAGUUUAACCUUAACCCCUCUAGUGAAAAAACAAAAUUUCCAACUUGCAUUAUACAUUUUUUUCUUUAUGAUUUUGAGUAAAAUGUAAUAGCUUACCUUUGUACAUAACCCCAUGUCCAUAAAUUAGGAUUCUCGGAAUGAGUGAUAUCGAGGCGCCUUGCAGGGACAACAAACACAACUCCUUGACUAAUUACUUCUCUUGAUGGUUUUCCCUUAAUUCGGAUCCUCGCCAUUAAAUCUUUAACCUCUUUGACCAUCGAUUUUAUGAAUUCUUCAUCAGAGCUAUCACUGUCAUAUGAUAGAAGUGAGAGAACUACGAAACACCCUAUUUUGACAUCUAAACGAAUUUUAACAACUCAUGCAAACUAUUUGAAGCAAUGACUUAAAUUAACGUACCAAUAUGUAAUAUUGUAUUCUCCUAUGGAUGAUAUGUCGGUUAAAGCUCGGCGCCAUUGUUGUUUCUCAUCCUCUGUUUUGUUCUUGCAAGUUUCUUCGAAUCGCCUUCCAAAUUCUCCCGUCUGUUCCCUAACAUCCAAGGGAUCCAAAUCGGGGUGGAAAAUUGGUAUCACCAUAUGACUCACGUCUUCAUUGCUCUUAGCAGUCUCCACCAAUUCGUUCAGGAGCCAGCUUGAAGAGGCAUAAUUGAUCGUAAACAAGAUGAUUGAGAUCGUCGAUCGAGACUCCGGUACCUCUUGUGUUAUUUUUAUCCCAUAUCUUUUGGAUGAAGGGAUUACGUUUUUUCUAAGAGCUGCAAUCAAGUAGUCGAGGAAGUUUAUCUGAAUAUCUUGUCUGCUGUACCUCAGGAAAACAUUACAUUUCUGAUUGUGAGGCGAAGAAAGACCCAUAGAGGCAAUCUUUCCAAAGUCUUUUGAGCUACCAGGCAGCAUAGAUUCUGUAUGCAAGAUUUCUUUACCCAUUCGUCGUGGCAAAGAAUCCAUAACUAUUUCCCGAUUAGAUGAUACACGUAUGAGAGACCUAUCGGCUAAGACCUUGAUCCCAGAGCUAACAUCCAUGUCAAUGUUGGCAAUAAGUGGUGCCACCAAAUCAACAUCCUCGUCAUUGAACAAACAUGCCAUGUAAAGAAAUAGAACUUUAUCCAUCUCCUGUAAACCAUCAUAGCUGGUUCUUGAAAUUUCUUCAACUUUUUUACUAUGCCAAAAAGAAUUUGAUGAACUCAUCUUAAGACUUGUUUCGCCAGUUGCAGCAUCAAUUGCAGAGACUCCACAUCUUUUCACUGUGCAACUAUCAUCUACACGCCGCUUCUUCUGCCUGUCGACAGGAAAGAAUUCAAACACAACUAAAUCAGCGAAUAUAUCCGGCUCAUAUCCUUCAUCGGUACUUGGACGCAUUUUGACAUCAAAGAAGACAAACAUAUGAUCCUUUUGAAAUUUUGGAACAGCUUCCCCUGUAGCCCAACAAUGCAAAUUUCUUUCUAUACUCUGAGAGCGGCCUGCCAUGUUCUUCCAUCUGCAAACACAACGUAUGCCUAAACCAGUAACAUCACUGUAAGCCUCUGAAAAUGAAACUUCCACCAGCAUAGCAAAACCCACAAGCGUGUUUCUCCAAGAAGGAUUUAGUUGUGUCAUCACAGAAGAUCCUGGUUGCAGAUAAGGUGUAAACUUUUGGUCCGCGUGUGAGGGCGCACAGAAGCUAAAAGCCAGAGGUUUGUUGAGUUCCUGUUAGAAGAUACAAAAUAAGUCAAAUAUGAUAUGAGUGAGGGAGGGAGAGUAUAAAGAGAGAGGGAGAGAGAGAAUUACCUUCUGAUGCUCUCUUGGCAUUUGUUUUACAUAAGCCAGUGCUUUCACCAAAAAACUAUUGACCACUUGUGGAGAGAGUUUAAAACAAUUAGUGAAUGUGNNNNNNNNNNNNNNNNNNNNNNNNNNNNNNNNNNNNNNNNNNNNNNNNNNNNNNNNNNNNNNNNNNNNNNNNNNNNNNNNNNNNNNNNNNNNNNNNNNNNGUGAUUCAGUUUGAAGCAGUUUAUAAAUUGGAGAGCCAUCCGUGGGAAGUUAAAGAAGCCAUAUAAACUCUCAAGUGAGACACAAUUAUUUGUCGUUAGCAGAGAGAGCGUUGCACGGAGAUUUUUGCAGUUACCAAGGAUAAGAUAUUUUGGUUGAAUGGAAGUCCAUGUGUCUGGAAGUCUUUCAAAACUUUCUGGAAGUCUUUUCCACUUAACAUGGCUGGACUUGAAGUAUUCUACGAGUCUUACACUUGUUCCAGAGUUGCCACCAAAUCUUCCCUACUUAGAUGCACAGGGUUGUAGCUCACUGAAGACAGUUGCAAAACCGGUGCCCCGUAUCAUGCCGACCGUGCAGAGCCAUUGCACUUUAAAUUUCACCAAUUGUGAUAACCUGGAGCAAGCUGCAUUGGAUGAAAUCACAUCGUUUGGUCAAAGUAAAUGCCAGUUUCUAUCAGAUGUUCGUAAACACUACAAUGAGGUCUCUCUCUAUAUCUAAUUCUCUCUCCAUGUGGCUUUCUGUAUCCCUCUCUUUGAUUCUUAUAUUAAAAGGAAACUCCACAAUUAAUGAUUUUCCUUUUCUAUAAUGUUGCAGGGUUUUAGUUCAGGGGCUUUGUUCACCACUCGCUUUCCUGGAUGUGAGGUACCUUCGUGGUUUUGUCAUGAAGAAAGAGGAUCUCUGUUGCAACGAAAACUCCUCCCACAUUGGCAUGACAAGAGCCUUUCAGGGAUAGCUCUAUGUGCUGUAGUCUCAUUCCUUUCUAGCCAAAAUCAAUCAGCAGCUUCUCGGUGGCAUGCACCUUUACGAUAAAAGUUCAAGAAAAGUCUUGGAUCCCCUUUACUUGCCAGGUAGGAAGUUGGGAGGGAGACAAGGAAGACAAGAUUGAGUCAGAUCAUGUUUUUAUAGCCUACAUUACUUGCCCACAUACGAUAAGGUGUCUCGAAGAUGAGAACUCUGAUAAAUGCAAUUUUACUGAAGCCUCUCUUGAGUUUAAUGUGACUGGUGGUACAAGU